GUAAGGCACUCAAGUAACAAAUAUUUAUUAUUUAGUCCCUUAAAAAUAAUUUACUUUAUUACAAAGAUAGUAAUACAAUUUCUAGAAAAUACAUGCAUGUACAAAGAUUGAAAUAAAAAAAACACUCAUAAAUAUCCAGAUUUAAAUGUCAGCAUAUACCUUCCUGAUCUUUUUCUAUCAUACUGUAUCUAUCAACAUCUAACCUGCUUUUUUAACUAUAAGUCAUACAUUUUGCCAUAUCAGUACACUUUUUUCUGUAACAUUAUUUUUAGAGCAUAUCAAACCAUAGUUUAUUUAACCAAUCCCCAAUUAAUUCAUAAUUAGAAUAUUUCGUGUUUUUCCAGUAUAACAGUUCUAUAAUCUUUGAUUAUAACCUUUGUGUAAAUUCCUAUAAGUAUUGAGUCAAAGGAGACACACAUCUUUUCAGGCAUUACAUAUAAAAUAAAUACUAAACUAGACUCCAGGAAAGUGGUAUCAAUUCACAUUCCCAAUAGCACUGUCCCAAUGGGGCUAAUUUAUCUCCUUUUUAAUCUCAGCGUAUUUCCAGUUAUAACAUACCAUUUUUACCUCUUGAUUCAACAAUUGUACUUAGAAGAAGCUCUAAAAAUCCAAAACUGAAGCUUCCUUUUAGACCCUCCCUAUUACAAUCCGUAUGAAAGUACAGAAUUCGAGAGUGACAUCAGCCAAACGGAGAAGUGAAGCUUACUGGCUUCUCUCCCUACCACAUAAUUUCAACUAGCAAAUACCCAGUGGCAAGAUUAUUGCCCUGAAUAUCCCAGAAAUUGGGAGUGAAGCUGUGACAACUCACUGGACCACAGAGCCAAGAAAAACCAUGAACAGAGGGUAAAGAGAAUGGUUCUGUUUGAUCAUAACACCUCUCCCGCAAGCCCACAUAGCACCGCACUUGGAGAAUUUCUCUGGAAUCAGUUUCUACAGUGGGAAAAGAGAGCGGGAGGUGGGCAUUCACCUUCCGCACCAUUCUGAGACUCUUCACAGGGGCACACUAUGGUCCUUUCCCCCUGGAAGCACUGCAGGUGCCAGCAGGGUUAGCCUGCUAGGUGUAAAUUAGAAACAAAGAAUGGGGGUGGGGCUCACAGCAGUCAACAAACAAAUCACAGAGUGGACUGCAGGGAACCUGGGCUUAGGGCACCAUUUGGCACUACACGGGCUGUAGCGUUCACGGGCUUAAAGACCAAAAAAGACAGUAUGCUUACAAUUUCUGGACAGACCUACUAUACAAGGACAAUCACAGACAAAGCCAGAUUGCAAAGACUGUUUAUAAAUACCUACAUAUUCAAUGCACAGAUAUCAAUGUAUAACUACAAAGAUGAAGAACAGUCAGGGAAACAUGAUGUCACCAAACAGACAAAGUGCCAGUGACUGACUCUAAAGAGGCAGAGAUAUAUGACAUUCCUGAGAUAAUUCAAAAUAGCUGUCUAAAG
This 1442-nucleotide long non-coding RNA is filed under the name Homo sapiens (human). Its description in RNAcentral is "HSALNT0122473". Lineage: Eukaryota; Metazoa; Chordata; Mammalia; Primates; Hominidae. The record is from RNAcentral.